This 497-nucleotide ribosomal RNA is filed under the name uncultured bacterium. RNAcentral's name for it is "partial 16S ribosomal RNA". It matches the Rfam family "Bacterial small subunit ribosomal RNA", at positions 28 to 507 of the family's 1533-position model. The record is from RNAcentral.
GAUGAACGCUGGCGGCGUGCCUAAUACAUGCGAGUCGAGCGAACAGACGAGGAGCUUGCUCCUCUGACGUUAGCGGCGGACGGGUGAGUAACACGUGGAUAACCUACCUAUAAGACUGGGAUAACUUCGGGAAACCGGAGCUAAUACCGGAUAACAUGUUGAACCGCAUGGUUCAACAGUGAAAGACGGUCUUGCUGUCACUUAUAGAUGGAUCCGCGCCGCAUUAGCUAGUUGGUAAGGUAACGGCUUACCAAGGCAACAAUGCGUAGCCGACCUGAGAGGGUGAUCGGCCACACUGGAACUGAGACACGGUCCAGACUCCUACGGGAGGCAGCAGUAGGGAAUCUUCCGCAAUGGGCGAAAGCCUGACGGAGCAACGCCGCGUGAGUGAAGAAGGUCUUCGGAUCGUAAAACUCUGUUAUUAGGGAAGAACAAAUGUGUAAGUAACUAUGCACGUCUUGACGGUACCUAAUCAGAAAGCCACGGCUAACUACGUG